CCAUUCAUUGAGACUGCACGCUCAGGCAACGCACCCACGGUGAACCAUGAUUUUCUCUCCUUGUCAUAUUUCUUGACGUCCAUGUCAACAGCAGCAUAUAAUUCAUUAUUUACCACAGCCACUAAAGGUGGAGCCUCAGCAGCUGCAGGCAUCUCAUUCUCAAUGGCAGCACCACUCCGUCCAGGAUACAUAUUAGGAAUUUCAGUCCACUUCUUUGUUUCCAGAUCAUACUCCUCUCCACAUGCAAGAAGCCUCAUUUCACUUCCCCCAAUUCCCCCAAUAACAUAGAACUUUCCAUCCAUAAACACUGCUGAACA
This 317-nucleotide unclassified non-coding RNA is filed under the name Hevea brasiliensis (rubber tree). The record is from RNAcentral. Lineage: Eukaryota; Viridiplantae; Streptophyta; Magnoliopsida; Malpighiales; Euphorbiaceae.